Molecule: non-coding RNA, 229 nt
Organism: Paramuricea clavata
Lineage: Eukaryota; Metazoa; Cnidaria; Anthozoa; Malacalcyonacea; Plexauridae
Source: the annotation of a GenBank genome assembly
CCUUCACGUUUCGUCCCCAACACAGACGUCACCCGAAAAUUGGUAGGACUAAUUUUGGCGACAUUUUGCAUCAUUGCGCUCGUCUAAAGCCUGGUUCACAUAUGCCUGCGGUAUGCCUGCGACUGUAUCAUUAUGCCUCUACUUGCCGCCGAAAUACCGGCAAAGUUGAACUCAAGUCAACUUUCCCGGCCUACCGCCGAUGUAACUGUGGCACUGGAGGCAAUCGACG